AACCCCGAGUAGCAGCAGUAAAUGCAGGGACAGGUUCCAGGCCGGAACAGAGGAAGCAGGGGUACUGAGAGAAAUAAUUCCAAUGUACACAACCUCCUACGGACAGGCUGCCCCUCUGCCCCUUGGGAGGGUUGACUGCGGGGAAGUCAGGAUUUUACGGAGUCCAGAAAGGCACGCACAUACACCUGUACAAGUACCCAUGCAGGCACUGGUUUAUAUUUUCUCUUCAGUUUUCUUAGAUUCUCAGAGCAACAUGGCAAAAAGCAACGGGUCCUCCAGGGGCUCCCCUGGGUAACUGCCAGGGCAAGGGCAGAGGCUUGUAGGUCUCUGGGUGCCAAGAAGAACAGCAGAGGACUACAAAAGUCCACCUAGAUAGGUCGCAGGCAAAGGGGUCUACGUGAAGUUUCCACCCAGCAACAGGGUCUGCAUGGAAAGCCUCUGAAGGCUGAGAAGGGCACCCACUCCUUCCAAAGGGCGUGCCCGCCUGAUAGGCAGGCAGCAUGAAAUGACCACCGACAAGACAGAGAACAGGGGACUUCCUCUCCUGGGAGGGACUUCCAUGACUCUGUAGCCCUUGGCCUCUCCCACUACAGGGACCAGAAGACUGAAGGUUACUCUCUCAUACAAACCUCCACCCACGAGGAAAUGGACGAGAAAGAAAUCUCUCUGUGUCAAUGGUCAGUCUAUUAGGAUGCUUCAGGGCAGUGAGGACCUGAUAGGAGCCUUCUCAGCCCCUGGCUCCGGCUCUGCUCUGAGCCCCAAACACAGAAACAGAUGUCGAGAAUAGAAUGUGCAAUGUUCCCUGCAAUGCAAGAGCCGAAUGCCGGGCACCCAAGGAUGAAGGGGCCAGGCAGAGCCAGGAAGACUUCCAGAGGUAUCCGCCGAUUGAAACAUCACUUCUGUCUUCCCUCUCAGCCUGUGCUGUCCGAUACGGCAGCGACUAGCCAAGUGUGACUACAGAGAACCUGGGGUGUGCAAACGUGGAACUGGCAUGCUCACACUGUAUUUUGAAGUUAAAGAAAUCUUUCAAGUCUCUUUAACUGUUUUAAUGGUGAUUGUAUGUUGAAAUGAUCAAUUUUUAAAUUAAAUUAAUUCCACCAAAUAUGAAAAAGAUCAAGUCUCUACCCCCAAAUUCAUACAGGACGCCAUAACCACCAGUAAUGGGACCUUGAGGAAGCAGUAACAGUUGGGCUGGACCAUGAGGGUGGAACCCUCACUGUAGGACUACAACUCUUAGGGCAGACCCGACCAUCCCAGCACCCCAGCCUGGAUUCUAGAACCAAGUGAGAACGAGCACUGUUGACUUUUAAUUAUAUAUGUCAGCAUAUAUAUCUAUAUCUACAUGGCUGUUUUAACUUUAUUAUGAGUUACAUCUGUAGUUAUGUCUGUGCACCAUGUGUACGCCUGGUGCUCUCAGAGGCCAGAGAGCAUGGGUCCCUGAUGGAAGAGGGGUCCCAGAUGGUUGUCAUGAGUCACCAUGUGGGUGUCAGGACUCUGCAAUAGCAGCAAGCACCCUUAGCCACCCGGCUGGCUACCUCUCCGGCCCCAAUACUGCUGCUUGAAUCACAGAGUCCUGUGGUAUUAGGGAAGCCAGAACACACUAAGACACAACUAUUUCUCCUUCCUUUUACUAAUGCGACUACUGGGAAUUUUUAACUUAAAUGUACCUGUCCAUGUCCCUAGGCCCCUGCAAGCAGCACAAGUAUAGUGCUCUUUAUACCACAGGGUUGGUCAUUCUGAAGGCAGAGCCAGGAACACGAAGGAGAGACCGUUUUGAAGCCAGGAGGGCCAGUUCUGCCCCACCAGGACCUGGGGAAGCUCUCCUCUAAUUCCUCAAAAGACAGAGCAGUGGCCACUUUGAAGUGUGACAACAACAGGUGACUCUACCUUCCCCGAGGGAGGAGGCCAGGUUCUGACACAGAACAAAUGCCUCUCGGCAUUCUGCUACACACUCACUCGCCAAACAGUGCAAACAGAAAGUAGACACAGCGCAUGGGACCACCUCUCACCCUGCCCCAAGAUGGGAGGUAACUGAUGAACUCAAACUGGGACUAACUGGUGUCGUGAUGUCCAGAUUCCGAGUCUGAGGCGCACUGUCCUGAGAGCACCCUUUCUACAGGCCUGGACUUGAAAGGGACAAGGCAGAUCGGGAGUAGAAACCCGGGCGAUCAAGAAGCAGCUAGGGGGUUGCUAUGUACCCUUGGAUCAGUCCACAGCUGCCCUCCCCAAAGCAGGCAAUGUUUUCCAUCACUUCCAAGCCUCCAUUCUUGGGGAAAUCCAGAAGAGCAACACUUCAGUGAAUGGCAGAAAGAAACAAUGUUCAACUUGAGACACCGCUUGCUACGCCUCAAUCACUCCAGCACAGCAUCGAAACCGCUUCCCAACAGUGUGCUCCGGUAGCCAAGAAGUGGUCUCUAGCCUGUGGCUCGUGCACUCACGCUCCACCGCACCCAGAUUCGUGCAAAAACUCUCAGGGUCGGAAUUAAUUGCUAAGCCUCCCUUCCUUGCAAUAGAAGGGAGCAGAUUGAGGGUGGGGAUCCCAGUGGGGAGUGCAAUGGCCAUCUGGGAUACCCACCCCCGCAACAGCAUGGGGGAUCCCAGCCCCUCCCCUGCACUCCGGGCCCCGCCCCUCGCGGAUUUCCCAGACUCUGCGCUGCUGCCACCUCGGGCGGCAGGGGACCCGAGCUGCAUGUGUAAUGGGGGUUGGGAACAAAGACGCGCAGGACCCAAAGCCCCGGCCACCGAGCACCAGCCGUCCCAGUCACCACUUUCUUUUCUCUGGAGUCUCAAUGCCCGACUGUCCGCGUUUCCCAGGACUGCCCCAAGCCCGUCCGGGAGCUCCUACCAGAGUUGGGCAUACUUCAGCACCACCGGGACAGAGAAAUCCGUGCCUGAGCUUUAGAGGCGAAAGCGCUUUCCCAGCACAACUUCGCGCGCGCACACCCACACGUCCCGUUCCCAAGCAGACGCGCACCAGUCACCCUCAUCCCGCAGCCGCCUGCGGGCUGAGCGCGGGUCACUCACGCCCGCCACGUGCCGGCCGGAGCAACCUGAGACCUGUUGGUUCGCCUCCUCAACCUCCUCUCCACUCCCAGUAGCCCAAAACAAAAGUGGUCCCACGAGGGCGCAUCUGUAGCCCGCUGCAAGGAAAGCGGGUGCAGAUGUAUGACCGCUUUUCCUGCCUGUAUGUCUGUGCAUCACAUGGAGUAUGGAAGAGGCCAGAAGAGCCCAUCAGAUCUCCUGGGGCUGGCUAUGGAUGCUAGGGAUCGAACCCAGGUCCUCUAGAAGAACAGCCAGUGUAAUCUGAACCAUCUCUCUGGCACCCCGACCCCCUCAGUUGAUUGUUUUAUGUUCUAGGAAAGCCUUUUUGAUGCUGGGUGAGUGAUAUAAAAAUCCCAGACCACUGCUAGAACACUUCUAAAUUACAAGGUGGACUCUUUUUUUUUUUUUUUAAGAUU
Alexandromys fortis (reed vole) is the source of this 3458-nucleotide long non-coding RNA. RefSeq lists it as uncharacterized. The transcript has 2 exons. The record is from RefSeq and is a predicted model, not a curated record. NCBI's taxonomy places the organism in Eukaryota, Metazoa, Chordata, Mammalia, Rodentia, Cricetidae.